CCAGACUCCUACGGGAGGCAGCAGUGGGGAAUAUUGCACAAUGGGGGAAACCCUGAUGCAGCGACGCCGCGUGAGUGAAGAAGUAUUUCGGUAUGUAAAGCUCUAUCAGCAGGGAAGAAAAAAGACGGUACCUGACUAAGAAGCCCCGGCUAACUGCGUGCCAGCAGCCGCGGUAAUACGUAGGGGGCAAGCGUUAUCCGGAUUUACUGGGUGUAAAGGGAGCGUAGACGGCGAUGCAAGUCUGAAGUGAAAGGCGGGGGCCCAACCCCCGGACUGCUUUGGAAACUGUAUAGCUGGAGUGCAGGAGAGGUAAGUGGAAUUCCUAGUGUAGCGGUGAAAUGCGUAGAUAUUAGGAGGAACGCCAGUGGCGAAGGCGGCCUGCUGGGCUUUUACUGACGCUGAGGCUCGAAAGUGUGGGGAGCAAACAGGAUUAGAUACCCCGGUAC
This 446-nucleotide ribosomal RNA is filed under the name uncultured bacterium. Its description in RNAcentral is "bacterial SSU rRNA". It matches the Rfam family "Bacterial small subunit ribosomal RNA", at positions 331 to 793 of the family's 1533-position model. The record is from RNAcentral.